Molecule: ribosomal RNA, 395 nt
Filed under: uncultured Pezizales
Lineage: Eukaryota; Fungi; Ascomycota; Pezizomycetes; Pezizales
Description: eukaryotic LSU rRNA
Rfam family: Eukaryotic large subunit ribosomal RNA (bases 340-395)
Source: RNAcentral
UAGUGUAGAUGUGAAUCAUCGAAUCUUUGAACGCAUUUUGCACCUCGUGGCUCAUGUCACUUGGUAUACUUGUUUGAGUAUCCAAAACACUCUCACCUCCCCCUAGGGGCGAAGUGGAAUUGAGAGGUCGAUAGUCUUACCAUGGACGGUCGUCUCUUUAAAUGUAGGCCUCUUACGGAAUGUCUCAGCUUGCGGAAACGCAGUGCUGUGAGGCAACUAUUGGGAUAACAUCCUUACGAUAGUGUCGCCUUCACUUGCAUGGCUCUGACAAUCCAGGUCAUCUCAUCGACGUCUCCUUCAUUUCAUGUUGGUAACUGAGAUAAACAUACUUUGUUAAAUGGAUCUCAAAUCAAGUAGGGAUACCCGCUGAACUUAAGCAUAUCAAUAAGCGGAGG